RNAcentral lists this ribosomal RNA (253 nucleotides) under uncultured archaeon. RNAcentral's name for it is "partial 16S ribosomal RNA". It matches the Rfam family "Archaeal small subunit ribosomal RNA", at positions 474 to 726 of the family's 1478-position model. The record is from RNAcentral.
UCCCGGCGGUCCAAGUCGCAUCCACAAUUAUUGGGUCUAAAACAUCCGUAGCUUGUUUUUUAAGUCUCUUGUGAAAUUCCAUAUCUCAAGUAUGGAGCGUGCAAGAGAUACUAUUAAACUAGAGACCGGAAGACGCAAAGAGUACGACGGAGGUAGCGGUAAAAUGUGUUAAUCUUUGUCGGACUAACAAUGGCGAAGGCACUUUGCGAGUACGGAUCUGACAGUGAGGGAUGAAGGCUAGGGGCGCAAAAGG